This 304-nucleotide ribosomal RNA is filed under the name uncultured bacterium. RNAcentral's name for it is "bacterial SSU rRNA". It matches the Rfam family "Bacterial small subunit ribosomal RNA", at positions 28 to 334 of the family's 1533-position model. The record is from RNAcentral.
GACGAACGCUGGCGGCGUGCUUAACACAUGCAAGUCGAACGGUAAGGCCCCAGCUUGCUGGGGUACACGAGUGGCGAACGGGUGAGUAACACGUGGGUGACCUGCCCCGCACUUCGGGAUAAGCCUGGGAAACUGGGUCUAAUACCGGAUAGGACCGCACCGUGAGGGUGUGGUGGAAAGUUUUUCGGUGUGGGAUGGGCCCGCGGCCUAUCAGCUUGUUGGUGGGGUAAUGGCCUACCAAGGCGGCGACGGGUAGCCGGCCUGAGAGGGUGGACGGCCACAUUGGGACUGAGACACGGCCCAG